UACGUAGGGUGCAAGCGUUAAUCGGAAUUACUGGGCGUAAAGCGUGCGCAGGCGGCUUGCUAAGACCGAUGUGAAAUCCCCGGGCUUAACCUGGGAACUGCAUUGGUGACUGGCAAGCUAGAGUGUGGCAGAGGGGGGUAGAAUUCCACGUGUAGCAGUGAAAUGCGUAGAGAUGUGGAGGAAUACCGAUGGCGAAGGCAGCCCCCUGGGCCAACACUGACGCUCAUGCACGAAAGCGUGGGGAGCAAACAGG
This 253-nucleotide ribosomal RNA is filed under the name uncultured bacterium. Its description in RNAcentral is "partial 16S ribosomal RNA". It matches the Rfam family "Bacterial small subunit ribosomal RNA", at positions 524 to 776 of the family's 1533-position model. The record is from RNAcentral.